Long non-coding RNA from Cervus elaphus (red deer), 409 nucleotides. RefSeq lists it as uncharacterized. The transcript has 4 exons. NCBI's taxonomy places the organism in Eukaryota, Metazoa, Chordata, Mammalia, Artiodactyla, Cervidae. The record is from RefSeq and is a predicted model, not a curated record.
AUAAAUACCUUGGAAUGAAAUCACUGGGUCAUAUAGAUGCUGUCUGUAACACUGAAGAUUCCUCUUGGUGAGGCUCAUUAAGAGGAAAAGCUCUCUGGCCUUUAUAAUAGAACAACUGUUUCCUCUGGAGAGACUGGUUUGCUUUUUAUCUUAUGGCUGUCCUGAGAUACAUGACUGAUCAGUGUUCAUUUUUAGUGCUGCAUUUCACACAGAGAGGAAGAAUGUUGGCACCCAGUGACAAGCAGUCAAAACUUUUUGACUGGAGAAUUUGGUUUUAUAUAUUCCAGAGGACCCCUUCUGGGAGGCAAAAUUAGGAUAUUGUUGCUGCUCAAAUGUGUGUAGAAGAAUCUGUUCAACACAAGAGCCAAAGUCCACUGUGUAAAUAUGAACCCAGGUGAUCAUCUGUUAA